This 119-nucleotide ribosomal RNA is filed under the name Helobdella robusta. The record is from RNAcentral. Lineage: Eukaryota; Metazoa; Annelida; Clitellata; Rhynchobdellida; Glossiphoniidae.
GUCUACGGCCAUAUCACUUUGAAAUCACCGGUUCUCGUCCGAUCACCGAAGUUAAGCAACGUCGAGCCCGGCUAGUACUUGGAUGGGUGACCGCCUGGGAAUACCGGGUGCUGUAGGUU